This 468-nucleotide ribosomal RNA is filed under the name uncultured bacterium. Its description in RNAcentral is "partial 16S ribosomal RNA". It matches the Rfam family "Bacterial small subunit ribosomal RNA", at positions 28 to 507 of the family's 1533-position model. The record is from RNAcentral.
GACGAACGCUGGCGGCGUGCUUAACACAUGCAAGUCGAACGGAAAGGCCCUGCUUUUGUGGGGUGCUCGAGUGGCGAACGGGUGAGUAACACGUGAGUAACCUGCCCUUGACUUUGGGAUAACUUCAGGAAACUGGGGCUAAUACCGGAUAGGAGCUCCUGCUGCAUGGUGGGGGUUGGAAAGUUUCGGCGGUUGGGGAUGGACUCGCGGCUUAUCAGCUUGUUGGUGGGGUAGUGGCUUACCAAGGCUUUGACGGGUAGCCGGCCUGAGAGGGUGACCGGCCACAUUGGGACUGAGAUACAGCCCAGACUGCUACGGGAGGCAGCAGUGGGGAAUAUUGCAGAAUGGGCGGAAGCCUGAGGCAGCAACGCCGCGUGCGGGAUGACGGCCUUCGGGUUGUAAACCGCUUUCGCCUGUGACGAAGCGUGAGUGACGGUAAUGGGUAAAGAAGCACCGGCUAACUACGUG